RNAcentral lists this ribosomal RNA (496 nucleotides) under uncultured bacterium. Its description in RNAcentral is "partial 16S ribosomal RNA". It matches the Rfam family "Bacterial small subunit ribosomal RNA", at positions 29 to 507 of the family's 1533-position model. The record is from RNAcentral.
AUGAACGCUGGCGGCGUGCCUAAUACAUGCAAGUCGAGCGAACAGAUAAGGAGCUUGCUCCUUUGACGUUAGCGGCGGACGGGUGAGUAACACGUGGGUAACCUACCUAUAAGACUGGAAUAACUCCGGGAAACCGGGGCUAAUGCAGGAUAACAUGUUGAACCGCAUGGUUCUACAGUGAAAGGCGGCUUUGCUGUCACUUAUAGAUGGACCCGCGCCGUAUUAGCUAGUUGGUGAGGUAGCGGCUCACCAAGGCAACGAUACGUAGCCGACCUGAGAGGGUGAUCAGCCACACUGGAACUGAGACACGGUCCAGACUCCCACGGGAGGCAGCAGUAGGGAAUCUUCCGCAAUGGGCGAAAGCCUGACGGAGCAACGCCGCGUGAGUGAUGAAGGUCUUCGGAUCGUAAAACUCUGUUAUUAGGGAAGAACAAAUGCGUAAGUAACUGUGCGCGUCUUGACGGUACCUAAUCAGAAAGCCACGGCUAACUACGUG